Molecule: non-coding RNA, 24 nt
Filed under: Arabidopsis thaliana (thale cress)
Lineage: Eukaryota; Viridiplantae; Streptophyta; Magnoliopsida; Brassicales; Brassicaceae
Source: RNAcentral
UAAGUGAAUAUAAGGGAGCUUGGU